CAGCAGCCGCGGGAAUACAGAGGGUGCAAGCGUUAAUCGGAAUUACUGGGCGUAAAGCGCGCGUAGGUGGUUUGUUAAGUUGGAUGUGAAAUCCCCGGGCUCAACCUGGGAACUGCAUCCAAAACUGGCAAGCUAGAGUAUGGUAGAGGGUGGUGGAAUUUCCUGUGUAGCGGUGAAAUGCGUAGAUAUAGGAUGGAACACCAGUGGCGAAGGCGACCACCUGGACUGAUACUGACACUGAGGUGCGAAAGCGUGGGGAGCAAACAGGAUUAGAUACCCCUGUAGUCCCUGUCUCUUAUAC
RNAcentral lists this ribosomal RNA (301 nucleotides) under uncultured bacterium. RNAcentral's name for it is "partial 16S ribosomal RNA". It matches the Rfam family "Bacterial small subunit ribosomal RNA", at positions 509 to 807 of the family's 1533-position model. The record is from RNAcentral.